Molecule: ribosomal RNA, 561 nt
Filed under: Ascomycota sp. ARIZ PAMan3-5
Lineage: Eukaryota; Fungi; Ascomycota
Description: eukaryotic LSU rRNA
Rfam family: 5.8S ribosomal RNA (bases 207-360)
Source: RNAcentral
GUAACAAGGUCUCCGUAGGUGAACCUGCGGAGGGAUCAUUACACAAAUAUGAAGGCGGGCUGGAACCUCUCGGGGUUACAGCCUUGCUGAAUUAUUCACCCUUGUCUUUUGCGUACUUCUUGUUUCCUUGGUGGGUUCGCCCACCACUAGGACAAACAUAAACCUUUUGUAAUUGCAAUCAGCGUCAGUAACAAAUUAAUAAUUACAACUUUCAACAACGGAUCUCUUGGUUCUGGCAUCGAUGAAGAACGCAGCGAAAUGCGAUAAGUAGUGUGAAUUGCAGAAUUCAGUGAAUCAUCGAAUCUUUGAACGCACAUUGCGCCCUUUGGUAUUCCAAAGGGCAUGCCUGUUCGAGCGUCAUUUGUACCCUCAAGCUUUGCUUGGUGUUGGGCGUCUUGUCUCUAGCUUUGCUGGAGACUCGCCUUAAAGUAAUUGGCAGCCGGCCUACUGGUUUCGGAGCGCAGCACAAGUCGCACUCUCUAUCAGCAAAGGUCUAGCAUCCAUUAAGCCUUUUUUUCAACUUUUGACCUCGGAUCAGGUAGGGAUACCCGCUGAACUUAA